GAACACCUUGCAAAGUAUGGUGUAUAUAAGCUUCUCCUGCAGCACAUCAUGUUAUUUGCUCUUCUUCUCUGGAUCUGUUUACAGAGAGCAGACUUUCUUUUAAUUGGCAAAGUGAUAAUGUGGUCUCUGUUGCUUAGAGCUGUUUGGCUGGUGAUAAAUAGGGAAAAUCUAAGAGUCCAAAUAAUGUUCAGCCUUGCAGUAUCCUAUAAUCACAGCUCCUUUUUGACUCUGUCUUGUGGAGGGUUUGAAGAAGGAUGUCAGUGGGUCAAAGAAUAUUGUUUUGGUGUCUGUCUUCACGAGAUGUGGACCAUGUAUUGACUAAGUGUUCUUAGCAGAAAUGUGCUACACAGGGUUUACAGAAGCGUGUUAUCAGAGGGUUCAGCAGCAGGAUGAGACUGUAGGCCGCUGACACUUAAUGGUUAUGUUAAUUGAUGUAAGGUUUUAGCAUCCUUUAACCAAGCUAUUUCAAAUAUUCAUAUAGUUGGAUGUCUGUUGGAAUUUGAUUAAUUUCUUGAAUGUUUGUCUGGACAACUUGUAAGACUGUCCUUACAACACUUGUAAGACUUGUGGGAAAGCUCCUUUGAAGUUAACAGGCUCUUUCCAGGUAGAGAAAUGUACUGAGAGUUGUUUGACCCGUUUCCUUCCUAUUAGCUCUCAAGUGUACAUGUUAUAGCAGUUGCACAAAGGAAUAAAGUGCCAACUGAUUGCA
RNAcentral lists this long non-coding RNA (709 nucleotides) under Anas platyrhynchos platyrhynchos (common mallard). RNAcentral describes it as "lncRNA (ENSAPLG00000017952.1)". The record is from RNAcentral. Lineage: Eukaryota; Metazoa; Chordata; Aves; Anseriformes; Anatidae.